UCCCUGGUGGCUCAGUGGUAAAGAAUCUGCCUGCCAAUGCAGAAGACAAAGGUUCGAUCCCUGUGUUGGGAA
RNAcentral lists this transfer RNA (72 nucleotides) under Bos taurus (domestic cattle). It matches the Rfam family "tRNA". From Rfam's summary of the family: Transfer RNA (tRNA) molecules are approximately 80 nucleotides in length. RNAcentral also lists the same sequence under 5 other names. The record is from Rfam by way of RNAcentral. Lineage: Eukaryota; Metazoa; Chordata; Mammalia; Artiodactyla; Bovidae.